Molecule: non-coding RNA, 663 nt
Organism: Cyanistes caeruleus (blue tit)
Lineage: Eukaryota; Metazoa; Chordata; Aves; Passeriformes; Paridae
Source: RefSeq, a predicted model, not a curated record
AACGUGCUGUCCCUCCAGAGCAUGGAUAUGUUCAGUCAGGCAUUUUCCGAACCUGGCUAAUGCAACCCCUUAUGUUUUCUUUGGGAGCUCUGCUAAACCCGCUCGUCACAGAUGUGCGAAGUGUGAUAGCGUCCAUCCCCCUGCACCUCAUUAACGUUUCCUCCUGUGCAAGUGUGAAAAUGACUGGAGAGAAAAGAGGAAACUUAAGGUGCCAGGCUGGAGAAGACAUGGGCUCCCUCUUCUGCAGCUGAUUUGCCACUACAAGCAGUAGCCAAAACCUUCCCCCUCCUCUGGGAGCCCCGGGCUCCCUGCCAGGCUGAGCACGAUGUUCCCAGCGAUGCAGCGGUGGGAGCCCUGAGCCGGGUCAGUAAAGGAGGAGGAGGUCAUGGAAACCUGUUUCCAUUAUGGUCCUUGUAAAUAGCCUUCCAGAUUAUCUUCUUGAUUAUCGUGCCCUACCUGUGCUGUUUCCAUCUCUGAGGAGCUGAGCGCUUUUAAACCUUGCAGCCCCACCCACGUGGCACAAAGUACCUGCAGGGGCAGAGGGCCAGCAGGAACCUGGCUCAGGGAUGUCAGUGCCUCUGGAAGAGGGGUUCUCCCCCUCUCAGGCAAUGCCUGACUUCCUAAGAGCACUACAUGAAGGAGGGAGGGCAGAGCUGGAGACUA